This 31-nucleotide non-coding RNA is filed under the name Homo sapiens (human). The record is from RNAcentral. Lineage: Eukaryota; Metazoa; Chordata; Mammalia; Primates; Hominidae.
UGAGCCUCGGCCUGAGCCAUAGGUGUGGGCC